GUUGCAGCAUCACAAACUGCUUUAGACACACAGCUUUUUGCAACAACUGACUGGCUUCCAUAAGUCCCUGAUGAAAUGAAAGAGAACAGAAGUUGAGUCAGUCUAAGCUGGACAUUGAUUCUCACCUGUUGCUGUAAUGCAGUGGUCUUCGCUCCCAGAACAGUCUAUUAUGUUUGAGCAGCUGUUCCCAACACAAUAGUAACAUUUCUUUCCAUUGGGGACGUUGGAGACACUGGGGAAAUUGGGGAUAUUGGGGAAGUUGGGGAUAUUGGGGACAUUGACGUCAUUAGAACUGGAACCUCCAGAAAGCUCUGUACAAAAUAAAACAUAUAUGAAACAACACUA
Ctenopharyngodon idella (grass carp) is the source of this 345-nucleotide long non-coding RNA. RefSeq lists it as uncharacterized. The record is from RefSeq and is a predicted model, not a curated record. The transcript has 2 exons. NCBI's taxonomy places the organism in Eukaryota, Metazoa, Chordata, Actinopteri, Cypriniformes, Xenocyprididae.